RNAcentral lists this ribosomal RNA (35 nucleotides) under Tuber verrucosivolvum. RNAcentral's name for it is "partial 18S ribosomal RNA". The record is from RNAcentral. Lineage: Eukaryota; Fungi; Ascomycota; Pezizomycetes; Pezizales; Tuberaceae.
GAAGGCUUUCCGUAGGUGACCUGCGGAGGUCAUUA